RNAcentral lists this ribosomal RNA (1017 nucleotides) under uncultured bacterium. Its description in RNAcentral is "bacterial SSU rRNA". It matches the Rfam family "Bacterial small subunit ribosomal RNA", at positions 355 to 1375 of the family's 1533-position model. RNAcentral also lists the same sequence under 1 other name. The record is from RNAcentral.
UGAGGAAUAUUGGUCAAUGGACGAGAGUCUGAACCAGCCAAGUAGCGUGAAGGAUGACUGCCCUAUGGGUUGUAAACUUCUUUUAUACGGGAAUAAAGUGAGGUACGUGUGCCUUUUUGUAUGUACCGUAUGAAUAAGGAUCGGCUAACUCCGUGCCAGCAGCCGCGGUAAUACGGAGGAUCCGAGCGUUAUCCGGAUUUAUUGGGUUUAAAGGGAGCGUAGGCGGACGCUUAAGUCAGUUGUGAAAGUUUGCGGCUCAACCGUAAAAUUGCAGUUGAUACUGGGUGUCUUGAGUACAGUAGAGGCAGGCGGAAUUCGUGGUGUAGCGGUGAAAUGCUUAGAUAUCACGAAGAACUCCGAUUGCGAAGGCAGCCUGCUGGACUGUAACUGACGCUGAUGCUCGAAAGUGUGGGUAUCAAACAGGAUUAGAUACCCUGGUAGUCCACACAGUAAACGAUGAAUACUCGCUGUUUGCGAUAUACAGUAAGCGGCCAAGCGAAAGCGUUAAGUAUUCCACCUGGGGAGUACGCCGGCAACGGUGAAACUCAAAGGAAUUGACGGGGGCCCGCACAAGCGGAGGAACAUGUGGUUUAAUUCGAUGAUACGCGAGGAACCUUACCCGGGCUUGAAUUGCAACUGAAUGAUGUGGAGACAUGUCAGCCGCAAGGCAGUUGUGAAGGUGCUGCAUGGUUGUCGUCAGCUCGUGCCGUGAGGUGUCGGCUUAAGUGCCAUAACGAGCGCAACCCUUAUCGAUAGUUACCAUCAGGUUAUGCUGGGGACUCUGUCGAGACUGCCGUCGUAAGAUGUGAGGAAGGUGGGGAUGACGUCAAAUCAGCACGGCCCUUACGUCCGGGGCUACACACGUGUUACAAUGGGGGGUACAGAAGGCAGCUACACGGCGACGUGAUGCUAAUCCCGAAAGCCUCUCUCAGUUCGGAUUGGAGUCUGCAACCCGACUCCAUGAAGCUGGAUUCGCUAGUAAUCGCGCAUCAGCCACGGCGCGGUGAAUACGUUCCC